Long non-coding RNA from Bolinopsis microptera, 445 nucleotides. RefSeq lists it as uncharacterized. Lineage: Eukaryota; Metazoa; Ctenophora; Tentaculata; Lobata; Bolinopsidae. The transcript has 4 exons. The record is from RefSeq and is a predicted model, not a curated record.
GUUGAAGUCAGUAGUGCACGGUACCCAAACUGAACCACGAGAAAUCAGCUCUAUCCUUUCGAGUACCGACACGGUUUUAACAAUUCAGACCAGUAAGACGUUAAGGGGCGGACGACGAUAAAAUGUUUGAGUAACAGUAAGAAACUCGUAAAGUAAACCAACUAAACAAAGUGAAACCUUGAAGUAGAGCAGCUGUUGGAGAGCCAAGACAGAGUUCCAACAAUCAGACCAUCUCAAAUCCUUAUCUCACUAAUCAGCCUCAGCUUUAAAAGAAAAAGAUUCAUUCAAUCUAAAGCCUCUGCAGGAGACAAUAAUAUCUGAAACUAUGAACAGACACAAAUCUCACUAUCCCAGCCAUCUCAGAGGGAAACCAGGAACAAAUCUCACUAUCCCAGCCAUCUCAGAAGGAAACCAGGAACAAAUCUCACUAUCCCAGCCAUCUCAG